GUCUUUUUUUGUUAUUUAGUUCUGUCAGCAGACAUUAUUGUAUGUAUUGUCUUUUCUUCUUUGUAUAUGUCAUGAAAUGUGUUAAUAUUGUCUGACUAGAUGUUGUUUUGGACCCCAGGAAGACUAGCUGGUUCACAAAACCAGGCUAA
Etheostoma spectabile (orangethroat darter) is the source of this 149-nucleotide long non-coding RNA. RefSeq lists it as uncharacterized. NCBI's taxonomy places the organism in Eukaryota, Metazoa, Chordata, Actinopteri, Perciformes, Percidae. The record is from RefSeq and is a predicted model, not a curated record. The transcript is spliced from 3 exons.